UUCGGCACCAAACGGAACGCUACCUUAUCCCCCAGUACUCUCUCGGUCUCUCCUCUCCUCUCCACUCACUCAACCUCUCUCGCUCCCGGUCUCCCCUCCCUCCCCCCGGCGCAUCCGCCGCGCGCGUCGAUGAGCUCCUGCCGCAACCGUGCGACUCCGACCAUCGACCACCGCAUUUGUUGCAUGCAUCGGCAGUUGCCGCGCGACGAAGAUCGCCGCUGGUCCCGCAACAGCCUCGGCUGGAGGAGGACGAUAGGUCCAUGGCGAAGGACGCUCAAGUAAGAGGAGCGGCCCCAAUGGUGGCGGCCUCGAGCACCGGGAUAAGUGUAGGCUGGGGAUGCAGGAGAGGUGCAGCGCGGGGCUCGGGGCUCCGCCGAGCUGGGUGCGGCGCGCCGCGACGACGGACGCAGGGACUCAUUGAUCCGGGCGCUGGUGCUCAAUCCGGUCCCGUUCCGGCCGGAUCCGCGGCGGUGCUCAUCUCCGGCGAGGUGGCCGGUGACUCGCGGGCCGACGGCGGCGCAAGACCACGGGAGGAGCUCAUCUCACGCGAGGUCCUGUUGGCUUCGGUUGCCGGUGGCUUACGCAGGGGUGGCGGGGGUCCAGCAUCAUGGAGGCUCUUCGAGGGUGAGGAAGCAGACGGCGACGAUAACUUUGAGGCCGGCGGGGGCACCGUCUCCGCGUUCAAUGGUCGUGGUGAACGUCGUGGGCUCCAACGCGGCCGCCGUUGGCUCUAUCCCCUACCGGGCAUUACUCAAGUGAGCUGAUGAAGUAAGAGGAAUCCAGAGGCGUGGGAUUUGCACUGUGUAUCAUUUUAAGCAUGGUUGGCCGCAUCGUUGGCUCCUCUUGAAAGCACAUGUACUACUUGCACCAAGAGCAAGAAUUUAACAGUAGAAAAGCCGUAUCAACUAUAUGUAUGCCCCAAUGAGAUCAACAACAAAAAAUUAUGCUCGCAAUUACCUGGCACGGGCACUGGAGUCAUUUGGGAAGGAUGCUCAAGAUUAGGAAUGUCACCAAGAGGGGCUCGGCUAGAGUUAUCACCAAGAGGGGAUCGGCACAGAUUUGUCGCCUCCAUAUCUUCAAGCGUCAUGGUCUGUCGGCGCUUGUAACGAAAUAAAAUAAACCAUUAUUAUUUCUGUGAACUGUACACAUUAAAUAUAUACUGGGCCAAAAUCUAACUUUGAAGCAUGCGAUCAGGUUAGGCGAGAUAAUCUACAUCUGCACUAUUAGAUUAGUACAUUGUCAUACUUUGCUUCAAUGAAAAACACAGCAUCAGUGAUACAACUUUGUUUCACUAAUUGAUCAGUACAUAUGUUUUUCAACCAUUAGGUUUUUGACCAGGUAUAUUUGUCUUGAAUGGAAGGACAAACACAAAGAACCAUUACAUCAAGAAGCUAUCAAGCUUGAGGGUCUCACAUAUUUUCACGACGCUUUCUGAAGUGUAAGUUACUAAGUUGAAAUCUGUUCUCUCAGCACUAUUUUAUCAUGUAUGAUAUUUUUAUUCUUUCUUUCCCAGAACUUAUCUCUUUCCUUGUGUUGGAAAUGAUAUUUUAUAUGGUUACUUGACGGUAUGAGCCAGAGCUAUUUCCUAGUCUGAUUUCUCCUGGGUGUACUCUGCUUUCUGAUGUCUGAUUUGAUGACAAGAAUAUUGUGUCGACGGUCAGCGCCUGGAUUGUAAAUUGGACUUGAAAGCAAAUAGCUCUCUAGGCACGUAAUGCAGAUUAUAACCCCAAGGUAAAAUCAUUAACCUAAUGCAUUCUUCAUGAUGUUGGCUUUUUCCCCUUACUGGGCCUGUGAUGCUAUAUUUCCAAAAACAUCCAAAUUUUAUCACUUUGGUAGCAUCCACAUGGCUUUGUGAAUCCUGCUGUGUAGAUGGUGGAUAGCCUGGUAAAAGAGUAGAGACUUUGUACAUGGGCUCUUUUGUGUACGUACCCUUCUGAAUUUGUGCUCAUUCGCUGAGAAAUUAGAGAACAACAACUUACUAAAUAGUUUUUGAUCGAAUGGUGACUUGAGACUCUCUACCUGACUACCUUUUAGGCUUUAGCAUGACGGUAAAGGUAAUUCAAACAUGUAAACGGUCAACUAAUAAUAUGAAGGUUUUUUUUUGCGGGUAAUAAUAUGAAGGGUUAUACCACAGAAAAGUCAUUAUACCUGGAAGCUGACAAUCAAGCAAUAACCUUAGGGAUUAUACAACUAAAGCAUGCGUGACAUCCACCUAAACAAAAUUUAGACAUGUACAUUGCACACACAACCAAUUGCUGCAGGUCAAAUGUGAUGUGAAGACGUGACUGCAAAGUUAAUGUGUAUGACCGCAAGAAACAAGACCAUAAUGUAUAUAACAAUAAUAAUAAAACAAAAUGUGAAAUACAAACCAUCAAUGCAUCCACAGACGAAAAGAAAUAUGAAUAGCUUACUCACCCCCAUCGCUAUUGGCGUCGAUUUGUUUUAAUUUAAUUUUUGGGCUCCUUGUUUCCUGCAUCCCACCGUAAUUCUGUUUAGAUGUAUAUAUGCAUGCACGCAGCACCAAGCAUUUGCAUCAAUAUGUUUCAGAUGAUGAUUGUGCACAUGCAUACCUCGUUGGGAUAAAUCUACCCGUGGUACGCCACAGCAGCUGGAGGUUGGUCUGGCUCGCAGGGCCAUCCGCUUGUGCAGGUCGGCUCAGCGUUGGCCUUGUGCCCCACGCGAUCCCGGGUCCUGAGCGACCCGAGCAGCCUGAAGCAGCCCAGGUAAUUGGCUUUGGCUCCGUCAAGCGUUCACCUCAGCGCGCCGACGUCGCCGUCCCGCCUCUGUCGACCAAGUUGUAUUGUCACCUUGGCGCAUCGCCUCGGCUAGACCGAAGGCUUCGACAUCACUUUAGCGACCUACUCCGAGGGCUUCGGCGUCACUCUGCUGACCUGCUACGUCACCUCGGCUAGACUAGUGGCUUCGCUUUGACACAUAGGUAGUGUUGUGAUGUCGCUUCAUCAAGCCGAGCUCUUCGCUCGGGCAUAUCAGGACCGACUUGGGGGCUGGGACCUCGACCCGCUACAAGCUCGGACCAUGUCAUCAACAUCGAGCACAUUAAGCAGCUAAGUCGCUUUUGUGCUCAAAUUUUUAAAAUUUAUUUAUUUUGGUUCAACCAAGCAUUACAUUUGUGUUAAACAAAAGGUUGCUUGUUAAAAAGUUAGUUGUUAAAAAUGAUGUUUGUUAAAACACUUUGUUUCCCAUGUUAACUGGGGCUCUUAAAUUUAUAUGAGUCGUUUUAUAAUAAAUGUGUUUUCUUCUU
Molecule: non-coding RNA, 3262 nt
Organism: Triticum urartu
Lineage: Eukaryota; Viridiplantae; Streptophyta; Magnoliopsida; Poales; Poaceae
Source: RefSeq, a predicted model, not a curated record